RNAcentral lists this ribosomal RNA (156 nucleotides) under Clusia alata. RNAcentral's name for it is "5.8S ribosomal RNA". It matches the Rfam family "5.8S ribosomal RNA". Rfam says of the family: 5.8S ribosomal RNA (5.8S rRNA) is a component of the large subunit of the eukaryotic ribosome. It is transcribed by RNA polymerase I as part of the 45S precursor that also contains 18S and 28S rRNA. The record is from RNAcentral. Lineage: Eukaryota; Viridiplantae; Streptophyta; Magnoliopsida; Malpighiales; Clusiaceae.
AAAAUGACUCUCGGCAACGGAUAUCUCGGCUCUCGCAUCGAUGAAGAACGUAGCGAAAUGCGAUACUUGGUGUGAAUUGCAGAAUCCCGUGAACCAUCGAGUCUUUGAACGCAAGUUGCGCCCAAAGCCUUCUGGUUGAGGGCACGUCUGCCUGGG